Molecule: ribosomal RNA, 463 nt
Filed under: uncultured Syntrophobacteraceae bacterium
Lineage: Bacteria; Pseudomonadati; Thermodesulfobacteriota; Syntrophobacteria; Syntrophobacterales; Syntrophobacteraceae
Description: bacterial SSU rRNA
Rfam family: Bacterial small subunit ribosomal RNA
Source: RNAcentral
GUGGCGCACGGGUGAGUAGCGCGUAGGUAACCUACCUCUGUAUUGGGGAUAACCCGCGAAAGCGGGGCUAAUACCGGAUGAGACCCUGGGAUGGUGGUCUUGGGGUGAAAGCGGGCCUCUCGAAGAAGCUCGCGUACGGGGAUGGGCCUGCGUCCUAUCAGCUAGUUGGUGGGGUAAUGGCCUACCAAGGCGACGACGGGUAGCUGGUCUGAGAGGAUGAUCAGCCACACUGGCACUGGAACACGGGCCAGACUCCUACGGGAGGCAGCAGUGAGGAAUUUUGCGCAAUGGGAGCAAUCCUGACGCAGCAACGCCGCGUGGGUGAAGAAGGCCUUCGGGUCGUAAAGCCCUGUCAGGUGGGAAGAAAGGCACAUGGUUGAACAGGCUGUGUGUUUGACGGUACCACCAGAGGAAGCACCGGCUAACUCCGUGCCAGCAGCCGCGGUAAUACGGAGGGUGCGAG